UGAGGAAUAUUGGACAAUGGGGGAAACCCUGAUCCAGCCAUGCCGCGUGAAUGAUGAAGGCCUUAGGGUUGUAAAGUUCUUUCACGGGUGAAGAUAAUGACGGUAACCCGAGAAGAAGCCCCGGCUAACUUCGUGCCAGCAGCCGCGGUAAUACGAAGGGGGCUAGCGUUGUUCGGAAUCACUGGGCGUAAAGCGCGCGUAGGCGGACAGUCAAGUCAGAUGUGAAAUCCCAGGGCCCAACCCUGGAACUGCAUUUGAAACUGAUUGUCUAGAGACUCGGAGGGGGUAGUGGAAUUUCUAAUGUAGGGGUGAAAUCCGUAGAGAUUAGAAGGAACACCGGUGGCGAAGGCGGCUACCUGGACGAGUACUGACGCUGAGGUGCGAAAGCGUGGGGAGCAAACAGG
RNAcentral lists this ribosomal RNA (404 nucleotides) under uncultured bacterium. RNAcentral's name for it is "bacterial SSU rRNA". It matches the Rfam family "Bacterial small subunit ribosomal RNA", at positions 355 to 776 of the family's 1533-position model. The record is from RNAcentral.